This is a long non-coding RNA of Cairina moschata (Muscovy duck), 1552 nucleotides long. The record is from Ensembl. NCBI's taxonomy places the organism in Eukaryota, Metazoa, Chordata, Aves, Anseriformes, Anatidae.
GUGGCAAAUUUCAAACAGCCAACACCUGUUCUUGGCAAUGCUUUGCCCUCCCCUGUAGCUCAACGUUUUCUGUUUAGUAAUCAUAAAAAAUAAAUAAAUGCAUUUACUCACAUAAAACAGAUGAGCUGACCAAUGUGAUACUAAUACAGCUGUUGUUCACAGCAGGGUGUUUCUGUUAGUCAUGGGCAUGCCUUAUACAGUUGCAUCCCAAUAACAAUGAACUGCAAUCUGGCGUGUAUAAGUUCUGGCCCCUGCUACAUGAAAUGAAUGAUGUGGUGGAUUUACUCUGGGAGGUGUCUUUGGUGGUUGCCAUGCUUGAGGCAAGGCUGUCCUGGUUUCUCCUCAGUGGCUCUGCUGGCUGAAGGCUCGCCCAUCCCUGCACAUCAGCUCCCGCAGGCUGUAGUGUGGUAGAGUAGAGGUCCUGGGACCACUACCAGGCAGGCAGGGAGCCUGCCAUGGAAGCAGAGCAGGUACUCGUGGGAGUGACAUCUUCACCCAUCUUCUAUUUAACCCAUCUAUAUGUCAUUCAGAAGUCUGUGUAAAUGUCUGUUUAAUCCCUGCUGUCAGGGCCCUGAGAGCACCAGCAGGUUGUAAUGAUGUGGACCAGCCUCACCUGGGAUUUCCAUCCCCCCAGCUCCCUGCACAUGGGCCCAGGAGCCUCAUUUAAGCUCAGAACUGCAGUGUAGGAAGCUCUAUGGUCAUGCAGACCUGGUGAUUUGGUUUCCACACUGAUCCUAGGCUUGUGUUUGUACCUCUCACCUGUCUGUUAACCACAGGACUGGUAUCGGAGCCCUUGGCUGCCACCAGCCCCAUGCUGCUCCCUGUGUGAUACUAGUAGGGGCCCUGCCCUGCCCUGCCCUGCCCAUGCUGUGGCUGUCCCCAGCUUCUGGCUUGUCCUCCCUGGUGUGAUGGGGCUGCCCCCUGGUUUGUGAAUCCUUAUGAAUUCAUCCUUAAAAUUUCUGUCUGAUUUUUAGCAAAAGACCUGUGUGCUUUCCUCUUCACUGUGUUUAGAAAAACCUUGUAUUAAAAGGAAAAGUCCUGUGCAUCUUAUAAACAAAAGAGCUUUUGUGUAAAACAGGUUUUUGUGAUAAAUUCAUAGUACUUUUUAACAUCCAGCUCUCAUCAUUCUCCUGUAUGUUAAGUGAUAUUCACAACUCCCCUAUGUGUUUUUCUUUAUGGAGCAGUUUGAAACAAACAGACCCAAACCUAUAUAUUUGCCCAAAUAUAUUGGGCCUCCUUUUUUGUGAGCCAUCCUAGACAAAAUCAAGUGUUGAUAAUAAACAGGUAGAGGACAGACCCUAUAAUUGAAUGCUUUGGAGUCUAUAAACCUGUUGUUGUUAUCAGCUAGAAGUAUUUGUGCUGUAGUAUAAAACCAGUUAUUUUGUGUUGAGUUACAGACAGAUACUGACUUGCCUGAAUAAUAUCAGGAAGCACUGCAACACUGCCACCUUAAUUAAAAAAAAAUAAUAAAUGUCUAUAGAAUCUAAGACAGGGAGUAGGAAAUAAUGUUUUGUUUUCUCUAUGGAAAUAGACCUCUGUGUGUAAUAUCACC